CCUACGGGAGGCAGCAGUGGGGAAUAUUGGACAAUGGGCGCAAGCCUGAUCCAGCAAUACCGCGUGAGUGAUGAAGGUCUUCGGAUUGUAAAGCUCUUUUAGUGGAGAAGAUAAUGACGGUAUCCACAGAAAAAGCACCGGCAAACUUCGUGCCAGCAGCCGCGGUAAUACGAAGGGUGCUAGCGUUGUUCGGAAUCAUUGGGCGUAAAGCGUACGUAGGCGGUUUAGUAAGUCGAUUGUGAAAUACCCGAGCUCAACUUGGGAAUUGCAAUCGAAACUGCUUUGCUAGAGUUUAGUGGGGGAUAGUGGAAUUCCUAGUGUAGGGGUGAAAUCCGUAGAUAUUAGGAGGAACAUCAGUGGCGAAGGCGACUAUCUACGCUAAUACUGACGCUAAGGUACGAAAGCGUGGGGAGCAAACAGGAUUAGAUACCCUGGUAGUCCACGCAGUAAACGAUGAGUGCUAGUUGUCGGGGUCUUAGACUUCGGUGGCGAAGCUAACGCGUUAAGCACUCCGCCUGGGGACUACGGUCGCAAGACUAAACUUAAAUGAAUUGACGG
Molecule: ribosomal RNA, 558 nt
Filed under: uncultured bacterium
Lineage: Bacteria
Description: bacterial SSU rRNA
Rfam family: Bacterial small subunit ribosomal RNA
Source: RNAcentral